CCUACGGGUGGCUGCAGUGGGGAAUCUUGCGCAAUGGGCGAAAGCCUGACGCAGUAACGCCGCGUGCGGGAAGAAGGCUCUCGGGUUGUAAACCGCUUUCAGAAGGAACGAAACUGACGGUACUUUCAGAAGAAGGUGCGGCCAACUACGUGCCAGCAGCCGCGGUGACACGUAGGCACCAAGCGUUGUCCGGAUUUAUUGGGCGUAAAGAGCUCGUAGGCGGUUCAGUAAGUCGGGUGUGAAAACUUUGGGCUUAACCCAAAGCCUGGAUCCGAUACUGCUGUGACUUGAGUACGGUAGGGGAGCGGGGAAUUUCUAGUGUAGCGGUGAAAUGCGCAGAGAUUAGAAGGAACACCGGUGGCGAAGGCGCCGCUCUGGGCCGUAACUGACGCUGAGGAGCGAAAGCGUGGGUAGCAAACAGGAUUAGAUACCCGAGUAGUC
RNAcentral lists this ribosomal RNA (441 nucleotides) under uncultured bacterium. Its description in RNAcentral is "partial 16S ribosomal RNA". It matches the Rfam family "Bacterial small subunit ribosomal RNA", at positions 338 to 795 of the family's 1533-position model. The record is from RNAcentral.